RNAcentral lists this ribosomal RNA (677 nucleotides) under uncultured bacterium. Its description in RNAcentral is "bacterial SSU rRNA". It matches the Rfam family "Bacterial small subunit ribosomal RNA", at positions 105 to 780 of the family's 1533-position model. The record is from RNAcentral.
GGUGAGUAACGCGUAUGCAACCUACCUGUAACAGAGGGAUAGCCCAUAGAAAUGUGGAUUAAUAUCUCAUAGUUCUAUUAGAUCGCAUGAUUUGAUAGAUAAAGCUCCGGCGGUUACAGAUGGGCAUGCGUGACAUUAGCUAGUUGGUAAGGUAACGGCUUACCAAGGCUACGAUGUCUAGGGGUUCUGAGAGGAUGAUCCCCCACACUGGUACUGAGACACGGACCAGACUCCUACGGGAGGCAGCAGUGAGGAAUAUUGGUCAAUGGGCGCAAGCCUGAACCAGCCAUCCCGCGUGCAGGAUGACGGCCCUAUGGGUUGUAAACUGCUUUUAUACACCAAGAAAAACAUCCACGUGUGGGUGCCCGACGGUAGUGUAUGAAUAAGCAUCGGCUAACUCCGUGCCAGCAGCCGCGGUAAUACGGAGGAUGCAAGCGUUAUCCGGAUUCAUUGGGUUUAAAGGGUGCGUAGGCGGCUUUUUAAGUCAGUGGUGAAAUCCUGCCGCUUAACGGUAGAAUUGCCAUUGAUACUGAAAAGCUUGAGUACAUUUGAGGUAAGCGGAAUGUGUAGUGUAGCGGUGAAAUGCUUAGAUAUUACACAGAACACCAAUUGCGAAGGCAGCUUACUAAACUGAUACUGACGCUGAUGCACGAAAGCGUGGGGAGCGAACAGGAUUA